This 2003-nucleotide long non-coding RNA is filed under the name Theobroma cacao (cacao). RNAcentral describes it as "long non-coding RNA (TCAC_LNC000317)". Lineage: Eukaryota; Viridiplantae; Streptophyta; Magnoliopsida; Malvales; Malvaceae. The record is from RNAcentral.
UUCUCUUGGCCGGCCAAAGGAAGAAAAGGGAAGAAAAGAAGAAGAACAAAAACCUAGCUAAGAAAUUCAAGAGAAAUUCACAAAAUUUCAAAGAAUCAAGUGACAAAAGGUAAGAUUUUUCAAUUCUAGCUUGUGAUUUACCUUUCCUAUGCAUUCUUUUUCAUUUUCCAUGGUUGAGAAUCAAGUUUGCAUGAGGAUACCCUUUCUGGCCGGACAUGGGGGGAGGAGUUUUGAAAUUGGAUUUGGUUAGAUUUCAAUGUAUUUUAGUGUUUUUAGUUAGUUAGUGAUGUGUAGCAUGAAAAUCAAGCAAGAAAAAUUCACUUCCUCCCAUCACCCAUCAUUGGCCGAAUUCUCCAUGUAGAAUAUUGAUGCUGAUUUUAAUUUUAUUUCAAGUGAUUUGGUUAGGAAUUAGUGAUUUAUGGUGUAAGAAUCAAGCUUGAAAAAUUAUAGUGUUGAUGCACCCACCAUGGCCGAAUUUUCCAAGAGAAAAUGUGAGGAUGAUUUUUUCAUAUUUCAAGUUAUUUAAUUUGUGUUUGAUGAUUUGGAGUAUUGGGAGAAAAAUCGAAUUAUUUGGAGUUCAAUUGGACGCAUUGGCAAAUUAAUCAGGAGAUAGAUCGAAUUAGGCCAAUACCAUUUUAUUUAGGUACAUAAUUGAAUUUAUAUUGAGCACCGUAUAUAGAUAGUUACCCGAGUAUUUCACAUCCCAUUUCAUGCAUUAGUAUAGAGCCUGAAUUGGUUUUAUUACAAUUUAGCACAAAUGUAGUAAAUGGCUUAUUGUGCAUUAUGUCUAGGUGGUGAGCAUUCUGGCAAAAGUAAAGAGAUAGUACCCGAGGAUCAAGAAUCGGAGUACUCGAAAUUCAACUCCCGAAAUAGUGAGUAACCUUACUAUCAUCUUAAUUAUCUAAAGUGGUUUUUAUCCAAUUUUGUGAAUUUUAUGGAAAGUGAAUUAAAUGAUUAAUUUUUUGGUUUUAUAAACAAAAUGUGAUUUAAUGAAAUGAUUUCAUAAAAUUGUUUUAAAAUUGAAUGAUGGUUUGAAAAUAGAGUAAUUGGAGACUGUUUUUGUGUGUUGUAAAUUCAUGAUUCUAAUCGAAUGGCUCAUGAAAAUUUUUGCAUGAAUGGCUGAAUUGGUAUUUGUGUUGAAAUAUAUAAACUGUGUAUUUAGCCUUGAGAGGCUAGAUUGUGAUAUAAUUGCCAUGUCAUGCGGUUGAGAUUUUAUUGUAUGGUGGGUUUAGAUUGCUGCAGUGGGUGGGUUCUGUGGACCAACCUUUUUGAGGGGCACGGUAACCCCGUUAUAUUCUUAUCUUAGUCGGAAAGGCGUGUAGGGUAACUCCCAAGGUACAACUUUAGAGUUCACUUCACGCCAAAGCACCACGUGAGGGUGAACUCAGCCAACGCCAAGGAACGACUAUGUUUUCAAAAUAAAAACAUGAUUUAUGCGUAUAAGAUUUUUUUUUAACAGCCUUAGCGGACUCGGUUGGGAUACCCCAGGCCAAGGUAUCCCUGAUAACUGAGUAUGAGAAUGAUUUUGGCAUGAGCCAAAGUUUUAAGAAAUUCAUAAGCCUUGUUGAUUACUCGAUUUAUAUGAACUGAUUUUAUUUGGUUGAAAUGAGUUGAAAGGUGAUGAAUUACAGUAUGAUGAUCUAUUUUAAUUGUCUCCAUUUACUCAACUUUUGAUAUUUUAGAUGGUAUAUGUUUACUAACUGGGAUUAUAUAAUCUCAUCACCCUCCUUUCCACUCAUUUCAGGUUUAGGAUAGUCGGUAGAUAGCUCAUUUCAUUGAGGGCUACAAUUGGACUUGCAUCCUCAAAAACUCUAGGUUUAUCGCUUUUGAUAUUUUUGGUUGUUCGUGGGCCCACAUGUCACUGUAAAUUAAAUCUUAUGCUUUGGUUAUCUGUAUUACAGUAUGUAUGAAUUUAUUUAGCUUUUACGCUACAAAAAUUAUUUACCGGUAACUCUAUAAAUAUUAUUUUAUAAGAAAAUAGAAUAUUUUAUUGAAUAUUUUUA